GAACGGGUGAGUAACGCGUGAGCAAUCUACCUUAGUUACAGGGAUAGCCCGAGGAAACUCGGAUUAAUACCUGAUAUUCUUUAAAUUUCGCAUGAAAUUAAAAGGAAAGGUCAGCCGAACUAAGAUGAGCUCGCGUUCUAUCAGCUAGUUGGUGAGGUAAAAGCUCACCAAGGCUACGACGGAUAGCUGGUCUGAGAGGACGAUCAGCCACACUGGGACUGAGACACGGCCCAGACUCCUACGGGAGGCUGCAGCAGGGAAUAUUGUGCAAUGAACGAAAGUUUGACACAGCGACACCGCGUGUGGGAUGACGGAUCUAGGUUUGUAAACCACUUUCAGGAGGGAAGAAAAUGACGGUACCUCCA
RNAcentral lists this ribosomal RNA (365 nucleotides) under uncultured bacterium. Its description in RNAcentral is "bacterial SSU rRNA". It matches the Rfam family "Bacterial small subunit ribosomal RNA", at positions 100 to 483 of the family's 1533-position model. The record is from RNAcentral.